UGAGGAAUUUUGGGCAAUGGGCGAAAGCCUGACCCAGCAAUGCCGCGUGAACGAUGAAGUCCUUCGGGAUGUAAAGUUCGUAAGCAGGAGAAGAACACAAUGACGGUAUCCUGUGUAAGCCCCGGCUAACUACGUGCCAGCAGCCGCGGUAAUACGUAGGGGGCAAGCGUUGUUCGGAUUUACUGGGCGUAAAGGGCGCGUAGGCGGCGCGUAAAGUCGGACGUGAAAUCGCUGGGCUUAACCCAGCGGCUGUGUCCGAUACUUGCGUGCUUGGAGUGCGGGAGAGGCAAUCGGAAUUCUCGGUGUAGCGGUGAAAUGCGUAGAUAUCGAGAGGAACUCCAGUGACGAAGGUGGGUUGCUGGACCGACACUGACGCUGAGGCGCGAAAGCUAGGGGAGCAAACGGGUAGAUACCCCGGUAGUCCUAGCCCUAAACGAUGAAUACUUGGUGUGCGGGUUAUUUAGUACCUGCGUGUCGUAGCUAACGCGAUAAGUAUUCCGCCUGGGGAGUAUGAUCGCAAGAUUGAAACUC
RNAcentral lists this ribosomal RNA (531 nucleotides) under uncultured Acidobacteriota bacterium. Its description in RNAcentral is "bacterial SSU rRNA". It matches the Rfam family "Bacterial small subunit ribosomal RNA", at positions 355 to 902 of the family's 1533-position model. The record is from RNAcentral. Lineage: Bacteria; Pseudomonadati; Acidobacteriota.